Xyrichtys novacula (pearly razorfish) is the source of this 3024-nucleotide non-coding RNA. The record is from the annotation of a GenBank genome assembly. Lineage: Eukaryota; Metazoa; Chordata; Actinopteri; Labriformes; Labridae.
GCUGACUCAGAUACUUGCACUGAAUUUUGGCUGUUGUUGAUUAAUCAUUGCACUGAAAUGUGCCUUUUACUAUGGAAACCUGCCAGUGAGGCAUGACGUAUGCGCACUACGCCGCCAGUCUACUAAAAUACCACUAGACCAGCUGCACUUCACCUGCGCUGAAAGCUGACCAGGUUUGAAUUAGCUAGCUUCAGCACACUUUCCACGCUGCAGGCGGACACGAAAAUGUCACUACGCCAGCUGAAUUUGUCGACACCUUUUCCUACCGCGCCACCAUGCCUAGCUUGGCGGAUCUCAGUGUGCCUCAGUCUACAAAAAAUGUGUGCCAGUCUCUGUUAGACGAAAAUACCACUGCGCAGGGUGUGCCACCCUCCGCCGCGCUGCUGACGGGCAAAUAGAGCCCUGAGAUUUCAUCCUUGUAAUCUGAUGUCUUAAAUCUUGUUAUACUUUGUUUUGAUGUUAUCUUAAUGUUGUUUUUACUCCUGCUGUAAGUUAGAAAUAUAACUCUAAUCUUACACUGUGUGUCUGAUGUUAUUUUCCUGCUAAAUGGGGACAAAUUCAAUAAUCUAGUAAAGUGUUUGAAGCUUUCUCAAAUAGAGGUCACUCUCAAGUCACUUUCAAGUACAAAACGCUGACUUCAAACAACUUUAUUUCAUGUUAUGAACAUUUUCUCAUAUACCUUUAUUACAUAUCAUUUUUUAGAAACUGACUGCAAUCACCUUAUGCCAUAAUAAAGAAAAGCAAAAUAGAAAACAGAAAGACAGGGGCCAUAGUUGUGUCAUAAACUGUGACUGAAUCUGAGCUCCUCCUGAAGAGAGGAAGGGAAGUACAAACAUUUUCACCAUUACAUCUGCUCUUGGAAUUUUUCAGCGUAUAAACAUGAUCUGAUGGACUUUUGUGACUUUACAACAUUCUACAUUAGAAACAUUGUACUGUAUUUACAGAGGAGGGAAAGGAAGUGAACUCAGAGAGGAGGGUUCGAACCAGAAACUCACCAAACUCACCAAGGAUCUCAUGCUUCAUGUUAAAGUCUCAGAGAGGUUCAUAGAAACUAAGAGAGUCACACACACACACACACACACACACACACACACACACACACACACACACACACACACACACACACACACACACACACACACACACACACACACACACACAGUGGUGAUGCUUUGAGGCGAUGCUCAGGAGUAAACUAUUGAGCUGCAUAUCUACAGUCUUGAGUAGAUACCAGGUCUGUCUACAGGAUCUACAGCUGAAUGUUCAUAGGCUGGCUGUUGGUUUGUAGGAGCAGUGAACGACAGUUUCCCUUUAUUACUUUCAUGGGUGAGACAGCGCUGCAUGGCUUUUACACAAGGGUCCUCAGUAUCAGUCACUGUUUUUUUGUUUGUUUGUUUUGUUUUUAAUGCUUUUAACCUGCAACUACAUUCCUCUUUAGGGAGGCUUUCCCCACAUUGAAAGAGCCUGGAGUUUAAACCAAAGACUGUGUAGAAACAUGGACAGCACAAAAGCUCCCCCAAAGUGUGUUAAAGAGCUACAGAAAAACAAAAAAAAUUAGGAAUGAAGUUUUAAAGAUUUGCCAUAUUUUGCCCUUAAGUCGUCACUAUCACUAGUAAAUGUGAAUUUUUAGGGUCUUUAGCAGAAUUACAGCUCAUCAAAUAAGAAAACUAUAUCAUUUAAUGGCUAUUUAGAAUGACCUGCAUGACAAACAUAUAGAUGAUGACUUUUAUUAUCAGCGAUCUUCAGCGUAACAUUCUCACAAGUGUUUUCUUAGUCUACCUCCAUCGAACUGCCAUGUGACCUGACAGCCCAUCAAUUUUCAGAGUUUUCAUUCUGAGGCUCUAUGAAAAAAAGUGACCUACACUGACUCUGUGAGGCAGCUGUAGCUCCGGCUGUAUCACCACUUCAUCAUUCUUAAACAGUGUCAGUAUCCUGACAAAGAGAAAUGAGUGUCGACCCGACUCAGCUAACAGUUAUAAUUCAUACAAAGGUCACGUGACUUAAGACAAGGUUGUUUAUUCAGUUUGGUGGCAGACUGGAAAACAUUUUGAUCACCUGGAAUUCCCAUUUACCGUUGUUUAUUUUGGAUGUACCGCACCCAAAAGUGGGCGUGUCUGUUGAUAAUGCUGGAGGUGUUGAUUAACUUUUCUAUUCCAUCUUAGAACUCAUGAGAAUAACAGUCAUCCAAAAGAUUUUUAAUCAAAGUCUGAAUUUGGACUCUUAAAGAUUUGACUAGAAACUCAAAAGUUUGGCUUAAACUUUGAAUUCUGACCGAAGUCAUGAUUCUGGCUUGAAUUUCUACUUAAUUCAAAUAAUCUCAGAAAAAUGUAAACAUUUUUAACGUAAAAAUUCAUUUGAGAAUUAAAGCUUUAAAGCAGAUGAAAGGUGACUGCUAGCUUUUUCCAGUCAGGUGAUCAAUAAUUAGUUCUUCUCAAAAAUUAGUCUCAUCCUGCUCUUUUAAUUCAGCCAAAUGUGUCACUCAACAAAACUUUUUGUGGUUGAAAGGUAAAAAAAAAAAAAAAAUUCCUCUGCCUCCGCCCCCUGCCUCCACCAGUGGUUUCUGACAUGAAAGAUAACUGCACAGAGAAAGUCACUCUUUGUCUUGGUGGUCUUUUUGCUUGUUUAGGUCCUGAGGUAGCAUCAGUUUUAAUCUCAGUCCGUGUUAUGACCGACAGAAAACUCCUCACAGGAGCUUUAAUCUCAGGAUUUGGAGAAAAAAGUUAGGUUACAAAAUUCAGACCUCAAAAACCUGAAGCCUUCAGGAACUCCUUUCCUGUUUGCUCUAUUAUGAGGAAAGUACUGAACAUGCUUUCUGUGGGCCUUGGUUCACAGACUCUAUCCCAUCACCCCCUCCUCUUCUUUACCUGGCUCGAAAAUAUCUCUCCCAGUACAGUACGUCAGCUUGUCAGAGUUUUGGCUGCACUGUUUUACAAAGGGAGGAGGUGUGCCGUCCAUAUUAAUCUGAAAUAGGGAUGGCUACACAGUUAAAACUCAACACAAAGAUUUUUCUUUUACUUUUAAAAU